Molecule: ribosomal RNA, 418 nt
Filed under: bacterium enrichment culture clone ALO1_GLFRUDD03F296X
Lineage: Bacteria
Description: bacterial SSU rRNA
Rfam family: Bacterial small subunit ribosomal RNA
Source: RNAcentral
GAGUUUGAUCAUGGCUCAGAUUGAACGCUGGCGGCAUGCCUUACACAUGCAAGUCGAACGGCAGCACGGGAGCUUGCUCCUGGUGGCGAGUGGCGAACGGGUGAGUAAUGCAUCGGAACGUAUCCUGGAGUGGGGGAUAACGUAGCGAAAGUUACGCUAAUACCGCACAUUCUGUGAGCAGGAAAGCGGGGGACCUUCGGGCCUCGCGCUCUUGGAGCGGCCGAUGUCGGAUUAGCUAGUUGGUGAGGUAAAGGCUCACCAAGGCGACGAUCCGUAGCAGGUCUGAGAGGAUGAUCUGCCACACUGGAACUGAGACACGGUCCAGACUCCUACGGGAGGCAGCAGUGGGGAAUUUUGGACAAUGGGGGCAACCCUGAUCCAGCCAUGCCGCGUGAGUGAAGAAGGCCUCGGUUGUAAG